Long non-coding RNA from Oxyura jamaicensis (ruddy duck), 2675 nucleotides. RefSeq lists it as uncharacterized. Lineage: Eukaryota; Metazoa; Chordata; Aves; Anseriformes; Anatidae. The transcript has 8 exons. The record is from RefSeq and is a predicted model, not a curated record.
GGGAGGCCCGCGCGAGGCGGGGAGCGAGCCGGAAUUAUGGCACGUCCCGAAAUUGUGUUGGCUAUUCGUUCGUUUUUCCCCUUGUGAACACCUAAAAACAAAUAAUAUAACAACGACUAAAGGUUUAAUACAGUUGAAACUGCUAUGUUUUCUCUGGCAAUGACUCAUCCAUCUGUAACUAGAGCAAAAAUUCCAGGCAGGUACAAUGUCUCUCUUCUCCCCAAGAGAAAGUAAAGGAAGUGCUUGGUGCCAUCGUCCUUCCAGAAGGCUGAUCAUCCCAGUUUGGUGACCCGGACCACCAGAGCUAAGUGCUGGGGGGCUUCCCGACGCGAGGAGGUAGGCAAGGGAGCCCCGAUACACCUCGUCUGUGGGCUGCGGGAUGGCGACGAGAGGAAAUCCCGGGCAUCCUCACCCCUGCCGAGCUGAGGAUGCACACCCGGCUCCUCGGAAGGCUGCGCCCAGGAGCAGAUGGGGACAGACGGGUUACGUGACAUGCUCGGGAUCACAUGAGCAGUCUGUGUCAGGGUGAGAAACUGCACCUGGAUCUCAGUUGUGAGGCUGUUGCUCUGGCACUGCGUCAUCCUCACUGCAAACGCAACACCAGGAUUGACUUUGCCUGUGUCCUUCCUAUGGCUACCAAUGUGCCCACCUGCUGACUGCAGAGCCAGCACUCCGCACUGCGUGCCCAAGGCAAGCCUGGAACUUCCUCACGAGGUCUGAAACCUUCAGCAUCGUGGCCAGAGAGACUAAUAGGGGAAUUUUAAGGCUUUGAGUCUGCAGUGACCCAGCCCGGUGGAUCCUCUGGAAGGGCAGGAAUCCUAAAGAGAGGAAAGGAUAAAAGAGGAGGAAUGAGGCUACCAGACCAACAGACAGUACAGUAUGGUAUUGUCAGAGCUGGCACCAGGAAAGGCUUUGACUAGUUUGAGUAGGAGGAAGAAAUAAGGAAGAAGAAGGGGUAAGGUUAUCUGCAUGGAGUGCUAGGUACAGGCAUGGUCAUUUCUAGAGAGCAUGAGUAGUUCAGUCAACAGGAGGGGUCAGGCACAUGCCAAAAUACACAUUAGCACAAUGGCCUAUAGUAGGUUGAAUUCACAGAAGGCGGUUGAGUUUCACUAGGUAAGACUUUGGCAAAGCAUUUGGCCUGCUCUGGCCCCACAGUCAGACCUGGUGGAUUUCCAGCCAUUUUCUUUCUUAUUUUCUCUAGUCACACUAUUGUACUUCAGGCCCCUGUGAAUUAAUCUGCCAUGCCCUCAGAUGCCUUGAAGCUCACUCUUGCUGCAGGGGCCUGGCUGCAGAUAUAGCAGCUGCUCCUGGCCAGGGAGGCAUCCAUCAAGUCCCCUGAAUCCCUCCUUUCCUGUGGAAAACAAAGCUCCUGGAAAUGCUGGUCAGAACAGUGGUGGUCUUUGUGGGAGACACUGGGGCAUUCUCAGCUGGAAAGGCUUGGCAGAGCAGAUGCGUCCCCUGUGCCUGGAACUAGCCCGUGUAAUUGCAGUUGAGGAAAGAAGCAGGAAGGUGCAGUGGUGGGAGGUGACAACUCUGCAUGAGCACUUGGACAGGCAGCAUUGGGCAUGGCUUGCUAAUUAGCAGAAACAUGCAUAAUCCUAUCGUCUUGCACUGUACCCAUAUUAAUGUGACUGAGCAGCUGUACUCCUAUGAUGGCCUUACCUUUGUAAUCUUCUUACCUAGCGUAUUAGAAGACUUUCAACAGCGAUGCACAGAAAAGCAAAUAGGACAUUGGUGUCAUGACAACCCUGCAGUGGCUCCGUGUGCGUCUCUAAUGGAGGAGACACAAUCUCAGGCACAUGCAGCUGAAGUCUGGAUUUCUCUGCACAGCAGAUUGAGGUUUCCAGGGUCCCAAGAGAUAAUAUCACAAGGUGUGGUGCCCUGAUGGGAGUCUAGCAAGAAAGUAACACUCAUGCACCCACCCACCUUUGGCAGAUCGUCUGAGGGUCCCUCAUUGGCUUUGUGACGGAAAGUGGUUGAUUCACCUCCACCCAGUGGUAAUUACGUGUUGCUGUCUGCUGGAAGUUCCCAUGUUUGGCAUUGGAAUGGUAAGCCUAGAACUCACUGCUGAGAUUAACUGCAAUGUAAAACCAUGAUUUCUUGAUGCCUCUGUUUUAUAUUCUGCCUAGUAAAAGUUACUUAGUGCAUUAUAUCAUUUACCUGCAAUAUUAUAUAAUAAUUAAAAUAUUCCUAAUUGCUGUUACCCUGACAUACUCAUACCUCUCAGCAGCUAUUUGCAUGCAGCCUUCCCAUCAAACAAGAGAGCAGUUCUGGUAGCUGAAGAGUUGGUGAUUUUUUUUGUUGUUUUAUUUUAUUAUUUUAUUUUAUUUUAUUUUAUUUUAUUUUAUUUUUAUUUUCUUUGCCUUUUAAGAGAGUCUUUUUUUUUUUUUUCUCCCUCUUUUUAUUCUAGAUCCUCAUGCAUACAAUAGAGCUCCUUCCAGAGGGGCUUUGCCCGCCCCUGAAAGCUGAUCGUUUUAGCCCCUCAGCUUUAAGACACAAUUACUCCCUUGUCAGUGCAGUUCUUACUGAACCAGGCUGGCUUGGCAGGUCUCCACUCCUUCUUUGUUUAAGUUUAUUUAUUUUUAUAUCAGAAAGGUAGUAAAAUUGACAAAAGAGGUUUAUUCAGACUCUAACUGUACAGUUUACCUCACACACAAAAUAAAACAUCCAGCACA